GUUUUUGUAGUUUAAAUAAAACAUUGGUCUUGUAAACCAAAAUAGAGUAACAUUACUCCUUAAACU
Molecule: transfer RNA, 66 nt
Filed under: Somatochlora hineana
Lineage: Eukaryota; Metazoa; Arthropoda; Insecta; Odonata; Corduliidae
Description: tRNA-Thr
Rfam family: tRNA
About the family: Transfer RNA (tRNA) molecules are approximately 80 nucleotides in length. Their secondary structure includes four short double-helical elements and three loops (D, anti-codon, and T loops).
Source: RNAcentral